UGUGUCUAGUCAUUUUUCUUUAGUGAACCUAAUCAUGUUAAUUUAUGUGACGGUUAAAAACUCAUUUACCACAAGUUUUUUAAAAAAAGUUGUUCAUUUGUUGCUUUAUUUCUUGCAAACCAUAGCAAGAAACUAGAAUUACCAGAUGUGAACAUAAUAGAUCUUUAAACAUAUUGGUUGAUGUGGUACAUUAAUACCUCUUGUCUGGCAUGGAUGUUCUAGAAAUGUGACUGAACUGCGCUGGUUGAACAAGCUGUUGUGGCUGGCAGAUAUCAUGACUGUGCAAAGAGUUCGCUACGUCAGAGUGUACGUUUUAGGACGUCUUCAGACCUCAGCAGAUAAAAAACGGCUUUGGUUAUCAGGAUCGUACAACUGAACAUCAGGCAAAAUGGCUACAGACAAAGGCUGCUGAAGUUCUUGUAACAUAACAUUCUUUCCUGUUUUUCAAGAGUAAUUAUAGUUUUGUGGCAAAAUUAAAGAUAACAGAACAUUAGUUAUAUUCCACACAAGAAAAUAUAUACUAUAUUGGCACGGUAUACUAUAUUGGGAUUGAGAAUUCAAAACUCUGUGUAUGUAAGAAAUGUAGAUGUUUAAAUGGUGAACAUUUAAUCAAAUAAGGAAUGGUUUCCAGUUAAAAUCUCAGUUAAAAUCCCAAUUCAAAUAUGCAGAGUAUGCUGGUGAUGGUAAAAGAGCAAUAGUUCUUGUCCACAAGAGCAACUGUUUGCAGGAAUACAGUGUUUGUGCGUUGUAUGUGAUUACUUGAGGUACCAAAAACUAAAAGGAUGGUUGGUAAGUCCAGUAAUGUGUGAUUAAACUGGUAAAAACAUUUGGAGACAGUACAUAGCUAAGUACUUUUAACCUUUGUCCAUUUCCCUCUGUGUGGUGACAGAAGAAAAUUUAAAGAACAUGUAGAUGAUAAACUGUUAAAUGUAAUGAACAGUGCCUUUUUUUCCUUAGCUUUGGAUGAAAGAUGAGCAACGUGAGCUAGUUACUAUACAUAAGCCAUGGACAAAUUAGUUAAUACAUGCAACGACUUUAGUUUCGCAGUAGCAUUUGGCUGCAUACCUCCAGAGAGAGGUUGUUUCUUGCAGCUCCAGCAGAAGAACCCUGUGAUGUCAUCUGGGGUCUCUCAUAUGAGGUGGAAGAUAUGUUCAUUUUUAAAGCUCAGGGGUGCUAUUGUUGUUUUCUGCUGUGUCUGCUGCUAAUUUCAUCAGUAAACAACAGAGUAAGUUCCAAAUUAGAUUAUCACCUUAUGGAUAGUCGGGGAAAAUUGUACUUAACACAAGACUUUAAAGAAGGUUUUUAGUUUGCUAAGCUAGCUACUAUAACUAGUUUAUAGGAUAGCAGGCCAGCGUUAGCAUUAGCUAAGACUACAUAGUUAAUCUGUCGUCUUUAGUGUUGUUCGACAAAUUAUCCUAAUGUUAAACCAGUUUAAUUGUGCUUUCAGUUUUUCAAGUUGCUGAAUCACUCAUCUGCUUCUUUUGUUGUAACUCAGUAUGAUUGAACAUUUUCAACAUAUAGAUCUUUGAUUUUAGGUUUGAGUGUUUUCAUAGAAUAUUCUUUGUGAUUUCUAGAUAACUAGCCUGUUAAAAGUUCUGAAACGUGAUGUAGAGACAGUUUGCAUAUCUUAUAUUAUUUAAGAUGUAACAGAUCACAGAGGAAAAAAAAUCUGUCUUAAGAUUGUCUCAGAGAAAUAAAGCAGAUCUCAAUAUUAUAUUAAUGGAGAAUCACUGACUUCUGAAUUGUUUCUCUUAAUCCCCCAUUAGGAGAAAAGAGGAGAUUAACAUCAGCAUUUCACUAUAAGACGUUCUGAAGUCUAAUUUUGAUUUCGAACUGGACUUAACUACGUCUAGGGGAAGUAACUGAGAUGAAGAAGAGAUCUCAUUUAUAAUAUUUCUUUCCUCUGGGAUGUAACAGCUGCCCUGCAGUCGAUAAAGCGAUUAUUAAAAUUCUGUUCAGUUCUAGCAGAAUUACCUGUAGCUGUUUACAUGCACACUAAUUAUAGCUGUAUCUAAGCUAAGACAAGUUUGACUGUGUACCAUUAAAUCACUUUAAAGAUUUCAAUUCAUAUAUGUCUAAUGAGUCCCAAAGAGAAUGCAUUAUCUUAUGAUGGCGGUACGUGUUAAGGGGAAGACACCAAGUGAAAGGCAUGAGGAAAAUACUAUGCAUUAAUUGCUCAAAUUUUUAUCCACCUCCUCAUGAACAUUGGUAUUCUUCUUCUUCUUCGUCUUCUUCUUCUUUUUCUUCGUCUUCUUCUUCUUCUUCUUAUUAUUAUUAUUAUUAUUAUUAUUAUUAUUAUUAUUAUUUUUACGUGAUUAUGCUCUUGCUUUUGUCACAGUCAAAAGCCCUGCUGAGAGGUAAACUAGGACUGCUCUUCCAACUUCCAAAGAUAAAGAAGUUCAAGCAGAUCACCCAGGAACCAAUAUUUACGAUCCAUUCCAACCAGUUCUCUGGUGAUGUUUGCAGCUCUAAAUCCUAUGGAUGGAAGAGGCGACAGAGACUGUGGAGUAGUACAUGUCGUGCAGAGAGAGCUGGGACAAAAAUGAGAAGGAGAAAAGAUGUGGCCUUGUCCAUUAAAAAAAAUGAGGACAUGUGUCUCUUCUUGGAUAUAUUUGUUGACAACCAGCACUUUUGUUUGUUCUGUCAAGUUGUCCAAUAUUUAGAGAUAGGUAGUAUCUAGUUACAUUUGCUCAAGUACAUGUACUUGAUGGUGGUCUGAUCUUUCAUUUUCUGUUGCUUUAUCUUUAGAUUCUUCUGAAUUUGCUGUUGUAUUUUCUGCUUACCAUACAACAGAAAAACUAGAGCAAUUUUUCAUCAGGACAUACCUUCUUUUCCAUAUAUUUUUAAUACUGUAACAGUUGAAAAUGUACAUAUAUAUAUAUAAUUCUUUUGUGAAGUACACUCUGAAUCUGUUAUGCACUUGGUUAGGUCCUGUACCUCAUUAUUUUAUUCAAACUCAUGUAUACAAUUACUUUUCUUUGGCCUUCAAAGAAGUACUCUUUGGUAUUUUUAGCUGUAAGAGGGUAGAUAUAAACGGAGUUUUUUUUUUUUUUAUUAUCUGUUCUUUUUACUGAUCAGAUUAUAUAUUCAAAAUGUAUUCUAUAAUGUACAUUGUUAACUCUGUCAUUCUGUGUAAAGAGUGAAUACAUGAAAAUGUCUUCUAGCAGAAGGUGUUUACUGCUUUGAGGUUUAAUUCUUCUCUAAGUGUCAAGUUUGUUCAUUUAAACAUUUUGAAACGUAAACAAUUACCAACAUAGAUUAAAACAGCUCAAAAAGGAACUGCAUUGUAA
Colossoma macropomum (tambaqui) is the source of this 3290-nucleotide long non-coding RNA. RefSeq lists it as uncharacterized. The record is from RefSeq and is a predicted model, not a curated record. The transcript is spliced from 2 exons. Lineage: Eukaryota; Metazoa; Chordata; Actinopteri; Characiformes; Serrasalmidae.